This 277-nucleotide unclassified non-coding RNA is filed under the name Hevea brasiliensis (rubber tree). Lineage: Eukaryota; Viridiplantae; Streptophyta; Magnoliopsida; Malpighiales; Euphorbiaceae. The record is from RNAcentral.
AAGGAGAAACUAAGCUAUGAACUUUACAGUAUCAAGGAGAAAUUCAAUGAUUUGGAGAAAAAGCUAGAUCUCAAUAACCAGCUUCUGGAGUUUUAUAGAGAAAAAUAUACUAGCUUGGAAAGAGAUCUUCAGCUUUUGAAAGGGGAAAGGGAUUCCUUGCUUGAAACAAUCUCAGAAUCAUCUCAAAAGCAUGCACUUGUUAGUGAGCAAAAGGAAAAUUUUGAAAGAUUUGAACAGUUAAGCACAAAGUGGGAAAGAUCUUGAAGAACAGAUUAAA